This 215-nucleotide long non-coding RNA is filed under the name Carica papaya (papaya). Its description in RNAcentral is "long non-coding RNA (CPAP_LNC007866)". The record is from RNAcentral. Lineage: Eukaryota; Viridiplantae; Streptophyta; Magnoliopsida; Brassicales; Caricaceae.
CACAGGACGUGUUAAUAGCGCCCACGUCCCCUCCGCACGCUCGCCCGCACGGGACAUGCCCACAGCACGCACGUCCCCUCCGUACACACGCACUGAUGGCACAUUCGCAUAGCGCGCACAUCCCCUUCUCGCGUACGGUGUGGGAUCAGGACUAGUGCGUGCGUCCUAUCGUGUGCAGGUAGGCCGUUCGAACGUCACUUCACACAAGGACUGGU